CCUACGGGGGGCUGCAGUGGGGGAUAUUGCACAAUGGGGGGAACCCUGAUGCAGCGACGCCGCGUGGGUGAAGAAGCGCCUCGGCGCGUAAAGCCCUGUCAGCAGGGAAGAAAAUGACGGUAACUGAAGAAGAAGCCCCGGCUAACUACGUGCCAGCAGCCGCGGUAAUACGUAGGGGGCAAGCGUUAUCCGGAUUUACUGGGUGGAAAGGGGGCGCAGACGGCGAUGCAAGCCAGGAGUGAAAGCCCGGGGCCCAACCCCGGGACUGCGCUUGGAACUGCGUGGCUGGAGUGCAGGAGGGGCAGGUGGAAUUCCUGGUGUAGCGGUGAAAUGCGUAGAUAUCAGGAGGAACACCGGUGGCGAAGGCGGCCUGCUGGACUGCAACUGACGUUGAGGCCCGAAAGCGUGGGGAGCAAACAGGAUUAGAUACCCGUGUAGUC
RNAcentral lists this ribosomal RNA (440 nucleotides) under uncultured bacterium. RNAcentral describes it as "partial 16S ribosomal RNA". It matches the Rfam family "Bacterial small subunit ribosomal RNA", at positions 338 to 795 of the family's 1533-position model. The record is from RNAcentral.